This 363-nucleotide ribosomal RNA is filed under the name uncultured eukaryote. RNAcentral describes it as "partial 18S ribosomal RNA". It matches the Rfam family "Eukaryotic small subunit ribosomal RNA", at positions 592 to 976 of the family's 1831-position model. The record is from RNAcentral.
CAAAAGCGUAUAUUAAAGUUGUUGCAGUUAAAAAGCUCGUAGUUGAACCUUGGGCUUGGCUGGCCGGUCCAUCUUUUUUGAUGCGUACUGGACCCAGCCGAGCCUUUCCUUCUGGCUAGCCUUUUGGCGAACCAGGACUUUUACUUUGAAAAAAUUAGAGUGUUCAAAGCAGGCCUUUGCUCGAAUAUAUUAGCAUGGAAUAAUAGAAUAGGACGUUAUGGUUCUAUUUUGUUGGUUUCUAGGACCAUCGUAAUGAUUAAUAGGGACGGUCGGGGGUAUCAGUAUUCAGUUGUCAGAGGUGAAUUCUUGGAUUUACUGAAGACUAACUACUGCGAAAGCAUUUACCAAGGACGUUUUCAUUAA